Molecule: ribosomal RNA, 253 nt
Filed under: uncultured bacterium
Lineage: Bacteria
Description: partial 16S ribosomal RNA
Rfam family: Bacterial small subunit ribosomal RNA
Source: RNAcentral
UACGUAGGGUGCAAGCGUUGUCCGGAAUUAUUGGGCGUAAAGAGCUCGUAGGCGGUUUGUCGCGUCUGCUGUGAAAACCCGAGGCUCAACCUCGGGCCUGCAGUGGGUACGGGCAGACUAGAGUGCGGUAGGGGAGAUUGGAAUUCCUGGUGUAGCGGUGGAAUGCGCAGAUAUCAGGAGGAACACCAAUGGCGAAGGCAGAUCUCUGGGCCGGAACUGACGCUGAGGAGCGAAAGCAUGGGGAGCGAACAGG